UCCACGAUCUCCGCUGGUAUAACAGGUAAAUCCACAGUCCGCGCUGAACAGUAAGGCAAUGUUCCCAAUCCUCCCAAUAACCGGACGAAACACAGUCUGGGAGUCAACUGCCGGCUUUAUUCACAAGCUUGUAUAUUUAUACAGUUUUCCAUACAAUGGUACACAAAAUCCCCUC
Bufo bufo (common toad) is the source of this 175-nucleotide long non-coding RNA. RefSeq lists it as uncharacterized. The record is from RefSeq and is a predicted model, not a curated record. NCBI's taxonomy places the organism in Eukaryota, Metazoa, Chordata, Amphibia, Anura, Bufonidae. The transcript is spliced from 3 exons.